This 250-nucleotide ribosomal RNA is filed under the name uncultured bacterium. RNAcentral describes it as "partial 16S ribosomal RNA". It matches the Rfam family "Bacterial small subunit ribosomal RNA", at positions 90 to 339 of the family's 1533-position model. The record is from RNAcentral.
AGAGAGUGGCGAACGGGUGAGUAACACGUGAGAAACCUACCCCAGAGACCGGGAUAACUAUCGGAAACGAUAGCUAAUACCGGAUAUCCCCUUCGGACCGCAUGGUCUGAUGUGGAAAUGCUCCGGCGCUCUGGGAGGGUCUCGCGGCCUAUCAGUUAGUUGGUGGGGUAAUGGCCCACCAAGGCAACGACGGGUAGCUGGUCUGAGAGGAUGGUCAGCCACACUGGGACUGAGACACGGCCCAGACUCC